GUAAAUAUAGUUUAAGUAAAAUUCUAGAUUGUGAUUCUAGAGACAGAGGAUAAAAACCUCUUAUUCACC
RNAcentral lists this transfer RNA (69 nucleotides) under Gymnothorax reevesii (Reeve's moray). RNAcentral describes it as "tRNA-His". It matches the Rfam family "tRNA". From Rfam's summary of the family: Transfer RNA (tRNA) molecules are approximately 80 nucleotides in length. Their secondary structure includes four short double-helical elements and three loops (D, anti-codon, and T loops). The record is from RNAcentral. Lineage: Eukaryota; Metazoa; Chordata; Actinopteri; Anguilliformes; Muraenidae.